CCCCACUACAGCCGAGCAGAGCGGCUGGGCGCGUGUUCGCCGGCGGCGACGCCCCUGCGUUCCUCGACCCCGAGUUCCAGUGGGUAAUCCCCUAUGCCCCAAAGUGCAAUACAACCUAUACUUCCUUGUGAAUGCGAUAGUGCUCUCUUACCGGUAAUGAAGUGACCAAAUGUCUUGGCCACAGCGUGGAUGGCUUCACAGCGGCGACGAAGUCGUCGACGAGAAAUUACGGUGUCCCUGAGGAUCCUCCGCGCCCACCAGUCGCAAGGACAGCUCCGCCCGCCGGUAGGACACGUCGAUGUUGGCCAGGGGAUCACGGAUGGCUUGUGAAUCGCGGAAUUGACCUCCAAUGCCCGCGGCGGCGCGCUCCCCUCCUCACUCGUGCUACAACGGCGCAAGGCUUAACUUGGGGUGGCUUGGUCAGGAACGGAGAUUAGGUGGCGG
This 444-nucleotide long non-coding RNA is filed under the name Zea mays. RNAcentral describes it as "long non-coding RNA NONZMAT003256". The record is from RNAcentral. Lineage: Eukaryota; Viridiplantae; Streptophyta; Magnoliopsida; Poales; Poaceae.